This 253-nucleotide ribosomal RNA is filed under the name uncultured bacterium. RNAcentral describes it as "partial 16S ribosomal RNA". It matches the Rfam family "Bacterial small subunit ribosomal RNA", at positions 524 to 776 of the family's 1533-position model. The record is from RNAcentral.
UACGUAGGGUGCGAGCGUUGUCCGGAAUUACUGGGCGUAAAGAGCUCGUAGGUGGUUUGUCGCGUUGUUCGUGAAAACUCACAACUCAAUUGUGGGCGUGCGGGCGAUACGGGCAGACUGGAGUACUGCAGGGGAGACUGGAAUUCCUGGUGUAGCGGUGGAAUGCGCAGAUAUCAGGAGGAACACCGGUGGCGAAGGCGGGUCUCUGGGCCGAUACUGACGCUGAGGAGCGAAAGCGUGGGGAGCAAACGGG